UGUGUUUUCGAUCAUCAAAAUUUUGCUUGAAGUCAGCAGUCAGGGGUCUGCUGGGUCUUGCAUCAUCACAAUGACAUGGUAAUUUACUGGACAAACAAAAAGAACUGCUGUGACUGACCUUUCCCUGAACAGCCCUAGAGCUGUAAAAGAUUAAGUUUGAAAUGGGAAAUUUAGCAUGAAUACAGUGGUCCUCACUCAGGGGCAAAUCCACAGUCCUCACUCAGCUCCAAACCCCAAAGCUUAUUGCCCUGAAGGAGUUGCCUUCUGUAUUUGGAGACUGGGAUUUGAGAGUAUCCAAGGGGUCUUCGUGGGAAGAGAAAACAAUAUGGACAGCUGGGGAUGGAGAAAGACUCCCACUUCUCUGACAGACUCCUUCCUCCCCACUGCUGCUACUUCUCUUCGUCCUCAGGGGGCUGUUGAACCUCUGUGUUAGAAGCCUUUCCCUUCUUCCCUGCAUAUG
Cygnus olor (mute swan) is the source of this 460-nucleotide long non-coding RNA. RefSeq lists it as uncharacterized. The transcript has 4 exons. The record is from RefSeq and is a predicted model, not a curated record. NCBI's taxonomy places the organism in Eukaryota, Metazoa, Chordata, Aves, Anseriformes, Anatidae.